UGAUUUCAUAGUAUUCGAUUAAAAUAUGGAAACAUACACCCUGAACCUGCAUGCUAAGAUCAAAAUGUUGGGGUUUUCAUUAACACCAUAUUUAUUUUCCUUCUUCCACAGAACAAAGACAAACCACAGGUUUUUAUUACCUGAGAACAUUCUGUAUGUCAAUGACUACAUCACAUACUAUACAGAUCCCAGAGCUGUGCAUGUUCACAGCAACUAAGUGCUACCACCACCACUACACAAAAAAAGGAAACUGAGGCUUACACAGACUAAGAUCUGAAAGACCACAUAAGCUAACAAGGACCAAAGGCUCACGACACAGGUGGUACUCAUUCUGUUUGUUUAGUACUGAGUUGUGCUAAGUUUUAAGAUGAUGAGGGAGACUAAUCCCAUCAAAGAUGCUUGCUGGUAGAAGAAAGACAUACAGAUAAAACAGGGUAAAAACAAUCCAAGACAAGUACAGACUUUAGUCAUGGCAAUGAGGAUGGCAUGACGAAUAUACAUGCACAUGUAUAUAUCAUAUGUAUAUAUAUAUGCGGAGUAAAAUAAUCAUAUUUGUUAAAUAGCAACAGUGAGUGGAAAAUGAACACCAAAUAUAAAAAGCACACCUCUAUGGCAAUCUAAAACUGAAUUAUAUACACACAGAGGGGCUCAAACCAAGUUUCUUCCUGAUGGAAUGUCUACAAUGCAAGGGUUUUCUAGAUCAGGCACACCCAGAGCUUAGAGAUCCAAGAUGGUCUCCCAAAGCUCUGCAACUUAAAGAUGAUGCCAAAUAUGUAUAAGCUACUCUUACAUACCUAGCUAUGUCACUUGAAAGCAAGGAAUCAGUUACUUAACCACAUAAGCCAAGAGACAUGGGUUCAAACCCUUUGCUUUGCCAUUUGAAAUGUUC
Perognathus longimembris pacificus (Pacific pocket mouse) is the source of this 889-nucleotide long non-coding RNA. RefSeq lists it as uncharacterized. The record is from RefSeq and is a predicted model, not a curated record. Lineage: Eukaryota; Metazoa; Chordata; Mammalia; Rodentia; Heteromyidae. The transcript has 3 exons.